AGAAUUCACAUGUGAGGUCCACACCAGGAACAUGUCAGGACGAACCACUGUGGUUCUGCAAAGAAUUGGUUACUCGGCACUUCAUGUGUACAUAUUGGUGUUGUGCUCUGUUGCACUGGUGCUUUCAGUGGGAUCGUGUGUUCCGGUUUUCAACAAGUUGAGAAAGAAAGGGAUUUUGUCAGG
Long non-coding RNA from Tachysurus fulvidraco (yellow catfish), 183 nucleotides. RefSeq lists it as uncharacterized. The transcript is spliced from 3 exons. The record is from RefSeq and is a predicted model, not a curated record. Lineage: Eukaryota; Metazoa; Chordata; Actinopteri; Siluriformes; Bagridae.